This 389-nucleotide ribosomal RNA is filed under the name uncultured bacterium. Its description in RNAcentral is "bacterial SSU rRNA". It matches the Rfam family "Bacterial small subunit ribosomal RNA", at positions 28 to 418 of the family's 1533-position model. The record is from RNAcentral.
GACGAACGCUGGCGGCGUGCUUAACACGUGCAAGUCGAGCGGUAAGGCCCUUUCGGGGGUACACGAGCGGCGAACGGGUGAGUAACACGUGGGUGACCUGCCCUCAGCUCUGGGAUAAGCCUGGGAAACCGGGUCUAAUACCGGAUAUGACUCCAUGACGCAUGUUGUGGGGUGGAAAGCCUUGUGCGGCUGAGGAUGGGCCCGCGGCCUAUCAGCUUGUUGGUGGGGUGAUGGCCUACCAAGGCGACGGCGGGUAGCCGGCCUGAGAGGGCGACCGGCCACACUGGGACUGAGACACGGCCCAGACUCCUACGGGAGGCAGCAGUGGGGAAUCUUGCGCAAUGGGCGAAAGCCUGACGCAGCGACGCCGCGUGAGGGAUGACGGCCUC